This 468-nucleotide ribosomal RNA is filed under the name uncultured bacterium. RNAcentral describes it as "partial 16S ribosomal RNA". It matches the Rfam family "Bacterial small subunit ribosomal RNA", at positions 28 to 507 of the family's 1533-position model. The record is from RNAcentral.
GACGAGCGCUGGCGGCGUGCUUAACACAUGCAAGUCGAACGGAAAGGCCCUGCUUUUGUGGGGUGCUCGAGUGGCGAACGGGUGAGUAACACGUGAGUAACCUGCCCUUGACUUUGGGAUAACUUCAGGAAACUGGGGCUAAUACCGGAUAGGAGCUCCUGCUGCAUGGUGGGGGUUGGAACGUUUCGGCGGUUGGGGAUGGACUCGCGGCUUAUCAGCUUGUUGGUGGGGUAGUGGCUUACCAAGGCUUUGACGGGUAGCCGGCCUGAGAGGGUGACCGGCCACAUUGGGACUGAGAUACGGCCCAGACUCCUACGGGAGGCAGCAGUGGGGAAUAUUGCACAAUGGGCGGAAGCCUGAUGCAGCAACGCCGCGUGCGGGAUGACGGCCUUCGGGUUGUAAACCGCUUUCGCCUGUGACGAAGCGUGAGUGACGGUAAUGGGUAAAGAAGCACCGGCUAACUACGUG